Molecule: long non-coding RNA, 1524 nt
Organism: Saccostrea cuccullata (small rock oyster)
Lineage: Eukaryota; Metazoa; Mollusca; Bivalvia; Ostreida; Ostreidae
Exons: 6
Source: RefSeq, a predicted model, not a curated record
GACGCGAAAAUUAAGUGAUUUACAGUAUAUAGGAAACAUCUUCUCAAUAAUACCAAAGCCAUAUAUAGUCAUAUUGAUAUGGAAGCAUCCUUAGGUAGUGUAGAUUCAAAUUUGUCCAAAUCUUGAUUCCAGGGGGCAGGGAGGGGCAUCAAUGGGGAUAAAAUUUUAACAAAGGAAUAUAUAGGAAAAAAUUUUAUGUUCAUGCCAGAACAGCUAAGCCAUUGUUAUUGAUAUGAAAAUGUCUCCAGGUAGUUAUUUAAGCCCCCUUCUCCUCUUCCUAAAUUUUAUACUUUUCAGUACUGGACUAAAUUGUCAUUUACUAGCCAAUAUGCUUAGGUGAGUAUAUUGCCCAUUGGCCACUAGUUUAUUUUAGAAAUCUUCUCACUUGGUAUGAAGUGCAAGUGAUCCCCAUUUGGUGUCUGUUAAUUUUUAUCUUUUUAAGAGGAAUACUUUUAAGGCUGAACAGGAUCCUGAAGUGAGGACUCCCUCUCUCAUUGAACUGCAUACAGCAGCAGAAAGCAGGAUUUCAGUUCCCCUUUGAUUCAGAAGAGGAACAACAAUGGAGGACCAAGGUCAUUAAUAUAAGAAGAGUCUAUUCCUGUCUGUGUUUUGCAGCAGAAGAAAGUUAAGACUGACCAGGAAUUCUAAGUGAGGAAGAGUCCCUUUCCCAUUCCACUGCAGCCAUGAGGAGAAUACUCGUAAGAAUCAGACUUUACUUCUUUUUCACCUAUGGAACUUCAUCAUGACCCACUUUAACAGGCAGGAGUCUUACAAUAUUUUCAAGGAAUUUGACAAGGGAAGAGGACCAGUGCUGACCAAGUGAAGAAAAAGAAGAGUCUUAAUUGCCAAGCUUUGUACAGCAGCCAAUAUCUGAUUAAGGAGUGGGCAGGCGGUUAUGCUGGCAUUGAUCCCGUUUCCAAAAGCAGAUCAACAUGAUUCCUCAAGACUCCAAAGAGAUCAACUAUGGGACUUGAAAAUAAAGGCAGACUGCCAUCAAUUUCAUGUUUCUUUGAUAGCAGACAAAUAUGCUUCAACAAUAGUGCAGAGAGUAAUUUAAGGUUUGGACUGCAAGUGUUGGACACACUAAAUAACUCAUUACUCAAAGAAUUCAAUGGAUAGUGCUGAGUACAUUAUUAUAUAUCUACAAAGUGAUGGGCACACUAAAUAGCUUAACUGACAGAAUUCAAUGGACCGUGCUGAGAACAUUGAUAUAUAUCUACAAAGUGAUGGACACACUAAAUAGCUUAACUGAUGGAAUUCAAUGGACCGUGCUGAGUACAUUGUUAUCUACAAAGUGAUGGACACACUAAAUAGCUUAACUCACAGAAUCCAAUGGACAGAGUUGAGUAUGUACUAAUAUCUACAAAGUGAUGGACACAGUAAACAGCUUAAUUCUCAGGAUUCUGUGUACCAUGCUGAGUACAUAACUGACAUUAAGGAUAACUCAUGAUCAUAUGACAUCCACAGCAGAUCACUCAAAGUUGUGUUACUACAUUAUUGUACAACUUUUCAUAUACUACGUUA